AAAGUCGUAACAAGGUCUCCGUUGGUGAACCAGCGGAGGGAUCAUUACCGAGUUUACAACUCCCAAACCCCUGUGAACAUACCUACGUUGCUUCGGCGGUCACCGUCCGGCCCCCCGGGGCUGGCAGCCGCCGGAGGAUUAAACUCUUGUCUUACUUGCAUUCUCUGAGUCUAAACACAAAUAAAUCAAAACUUUCAACAACGGAUCUCUUGGUUCUG
This 218-nucleotide unclassified non-coding RNA is filed under the name Ascomycota sp. RNAcentral's name for it is "partial contains small subunit ribosomal RNA, internal transcribed spacer 1, and 5.8S ribosomal RNA". The stretch from base 1 to 47 matches the Rfam family "Eukaryotic small subunit ribosomal RNA", at positions 1785 to 1831 of the family's 1831-position model. The record is from RNAcentral. Lineage: Eukaryota; Fungi; Ascomycota.